RNAcentral lists this long non-coding RNA (602 nucleotides) under Phoenix dactylifera (date palm). Its description in RNAcentral is "long non-coding RNA (PDAC_LNC020838)". The record is from RNAcentral. Lineage: Eukaryota; Viridiplantae; Streptophyta; Magnoliopsida; Arecales; Arecaceae.
UGGAAGGAGGUUCCUUGCUGCCAAAAAUCCCAAGGAAAAACCAUUAAAAAUUCAGAGCCCCUUUGAACUCCCCUUUUAUGGUGUGUGGAUAGAGAUGAGCUCCUAAAUUUUAGCUCAUCUUUAUCCCUUUGUGAAUUCAAAAUAGGAGGGGUGUGGCCCCUCCUUUUUCCCUCACGCCACCAGCCAAGGGAAGGGGCGUAGGUCCCUCCCUAUUCUCCCAUUUGGUUAGCCCCCAAUCAAUCUAAUUAAUUGGGGAGGGUUGGGUCCAAGUGCUAGGAUUCAAUCCUAUUCAAAAUAAGAUUUGCACCCAUUUCAAUUUCCUCCAAAUCCUAAUCUAAUUAGGAUUUAAUUGAACCAUGACUCAAUUGAACUCUUCAAUCCUACUCCAAUUAAAAGUCUUUUAAUUAAUUAGAUUAAAAUUAAAAUUAAUUAGGACUUAAGAAAAUCCUAAUCUAAUUAGGACUUAUUAAAUUUCAGCCUUAAGGCAAUUAGGACUUUAAAAAUCCUACUCCAAAUAGGACUCUAAUUUAAUUUGAAAUCCUAAUCCAAUUAGGACUCCAAGGAUCCUACUCCAAGUAGAACUCGUAAUCAAGUCCAAUUAA